RNAcentral lists this non-coding RNA (30 nucleotides) under Homo sapiens (human). The record is from RNAcentral. Lineage: Eukaryota; Metazoa; Chordata; Mammalia; Primates; Hominidae.
UCAAUCUGCCUUCUGCUGGUAUUAAUGGCC